Molecule: ribosomal RNA, 429 nt
Filed under: uncultured bacterium
Lineage: Bacteria
Description: bacterial SSU rRNA
Rfam family: Bacterial small subunit ribosomal RNA
Source: RNAcentral
GACGAACGCUGGCGGCGUGCCUAACACAUGCAAGUCAACUUGACUGAAGGAGCAAUCUGACAGUAGAGUGGCGCAAGGGUGCGUAACGCGUAAGUAACUUGCCCAAGGUAAGGAAUAACGUCGAGAAAUCGGCGCUAAUACCUCAUAAUGCAGCGGAUCCGCAUGGAUAUGUUGUUAAAGGUUUACCGCCUUGGGAUAGGCUUGCGUCUGAUUAGCUAGUUGGUGUGGUAACGGCACACCAAGGCUACGAUCAGUAACUGGUCUGAGAGGAUGAUCAGUCACACUGGAACUGAGACACGGUCCAGACUCCUACGGGAGGCAGCAGUGAGGAAUAUUGGGCGAAUAGCUCGAAAGAAGUGGACCCACGCAACGACCGCCGUGGAGGAGUGAAGGUAAGUUACUUAUUAUCGUAAACUACCUCGUGAGAGC